AGAAUCAACGCUGGCGGCGUGCCUAACACAUGCAAGUCGAACGCGAAAGUGGAGCAAUCCAUGAGUAGAGUGGCAAACGGGUGAGUAACGCGUGGGCGACCUACCUCAGAGUGGGGGAUAGCCUUCCGAAAGGAGGGCUAAUACCGCAUGACAUACCGUGUUUGGAUACACGGAUAUCAAAGCCGGGGAUCGCAAGACCUGGCGCUUGGAGAGGGGCCCGCGUCCGAUUAGCUAGUUGGUGAGGUAAUGGCUCACCAAGGCUCCGAUCGGUA
Molecule: ribosomal RNA, 272 nt
Filed under: uncultured bacterium
Lineage: Bacteria
Description: partial small subunit ribosomal RNA
Rfam family: Bacterial small subunit ribosomal RNA
Source: RNAcentral